GGGGUUGCAAUGGUUUCGACAGGGAUGUAAAAGAAAAUACUUCGCUCGAUCGACUAACGUAAACGGUCAAAACUUAAACUAAACGCAAGAUAUAAAAGAUUUGCAGUAGCAGCGUGAAUGCUACCCUGAAACACACUGAGAUAAUGCUGGUAGGUGUUGAGGGAAGAUAACAAGCAUAUGUAACUAAAAAAAUAUAAACACUUGUUUUUUCAUAAUGAUCAGGCAAACAGCGUAAAUGGUAUUUUCAAGUAAUGUUCUUGGACAGGGGUUCGAUUCCCCUCAGCUCCA
This 288-nucleotide transfer-messenger RNA is filed under the name uncultured Clostridium sp. RNAcentral's name for it is "transfer-messenger RNA%2C SsrA". It matches the Rfam family "transfer-messenger RNA". Rfam says of the family: Bacterial tmRNA, also known as 10Sa RNA or SsrA, is named for its dual tRNA and mRNA-like properties. Lineage: Bacteria; Bacillati; Bacillota; Clostridia; Eubacteriales; Clostridiaceae. The record is from RNAcentral.